UACGUAGGGUGCAAGCGUUGUCCGGAAUUAUUGGGCGUAAAGAGCUCGUAGGCGGUCUGUCGCGUCUGCUGUGAAAACCUAGGGCUUAACUCUGGGCGUGCAGUGGGUACGGGCAGGCUAGAGUGCGGUAGGGGAGAUUGGAAUUCCUGGUGUAGCGGUGAAAUGCGCAGAUAUCAGGAGGAACACCGGUGGCGAAGGCGGGUCUCUGGGCCGAUACUGACGCUGAGGAGCGAAAGCGUGGGGAGCGAACAGG
Molecule: ribosomal RNA, 253 nt
Filed under: uncultured bacterium
Lineage: Bacteria
Description: partial 16S ribosomal RNA
Rfam family: Bacterial small subunit ribosomal RNA
Source: RNAcentral